UACGGAAGGUCCUAGCGUUGUUCGGAAUUACUGGGCGUAAAGCGCAUGUAGGCGGAACAGAAAGUUAGAAGUGAAAUCCCUGGGCUCAACCUAGGAAUUGCUUUUAAAACUUCUGUUCUGGAAUUCAGGAGAGGAAAAUGGAAUAUCCAGUGUAGAGGUGAAAUUCGUAGAUAUUGGAUGGAACACCAGUGGCGAAGGCGAUUUUCUGGACUGAUAUUGACGCUGAGAUGCGAAGGCAUGGGUAGCAAAC
RNAcentral lists this ribosomal RNA (250 nucleotides) under uncultured bacterium. RNAcentral's name for it is "partial 16S ribosomal RNA". It matches the Rfam family "Bacterial small subunit ribosomal RNA", at positions 524 to 773 of the family's 1533-position model. The record is from RNAcentral.